GGGAGCGUAGCUCAAUUGGGAGAGCGCGUCGUUCGCAAUGACGAGGUUGAGGGUUCGAUCCCCUUCGCUUCCACCA
RNAcentral lists this transfer RNA (76 nucleotides) under Planctomycetaceae bacterium. RNAcentral describes it as "tRNA-Ala". It matches the Rfam family "tRNA". From Rfam's summary of the family: Transfer RNA (tRNA) molecules are approximately 80 nucleotides in length. The record is from RNAcentral. Lineage: Bacteria; Pseudomonadati; Planctomycetota; Planctomycetia; Planctomycetales; Planctomycetaceae. RNAcentral also lists the same sequence under 2 other names.